Molecule: long non-coding RNA, 770 nt
Organism: Glycine soja
Lineage: Eukaryota; Viridiplantae; Streptophyta; Magnoliopsida; Fabales; Fabaceae
Exons: 2
Source: RefSeq, a predicted model, not a curated record
UUUAGUCCUAACUCUUCACCUUUUUUAUCUUUUUACUUCCUCUUUCUAAAGUUUUGCUUCUUUCCUUCUCCCUCUCACCAAAACAAUUUGCUCACAAAGGAGGAAAAAUGGCACCUUUCGUUUCCCUCUUUUUGUUGCUUCUCUUUCUUAACUACCCCUUCAUUUCCCUUUCAACCAACCCUGAAGAAGAGAAGGUUCAAGCAGCUGGUGUCUCGCUAAGCGAGGCAUAUGCGCUUAGCGAAUGACAUCCGUUAAGCAAGGCACGCAGCUCGCUUAGCGUGUUGGAAAACCCUAGAAGAGAUCAGUUAGAGAUGUGCUCGCCCAACAUGCCACAACUCGUCCAGCAAGUCGUUUGUCUCUUCUCGCGCUCAGCACGCCCAGCUCACUAAGCCAAAUUUCACUAACUCGCGCUUAGCGAGCCAAUCUCGCUAAACGAGCCUUCAGAAUCUGAAACGUCAAGGAGCCUUUAAAACACUGAAGUUGACGGAAACUAAAAAAAGAGGAGUAAAAAAACAGAGCCAAAGGAGAAGCUAGAGCGACAAAAACGAAGCAACCAAGAGAGUCUAGGUUAGAGGAGUGAGAUUAGGGUUCUAGAAGUUGAAGGUGAGAUCCUCAACCAUCCUUAGCCAUUUUCUUCCCUCAAAAUCUGUCCUUUGUAUUGAAAGUUCAUUACUUGUAAUGGAAGGUUAAACCUUUUGGUCGGGGAGUUCUGUUGAACCUUUGAUGUAAUACUCUUUCACUAUCUAUUUAAUAUUAUUUUUAUGUGUUCA